GACGAACGCUGGCGGCGUGCUUAACACAUGCAAGUCGAGCGGUAAGGCCCUUUCGGGGGUACACGAGCGGCGAACGGGUGAGUAACACGUGGGUGACCUGCCCUCAGCUCUGGGAUAAGCCUGGGGAACCGGGUCUAAUACUGGAUAUGACUCCAUGACGCAUGUUGUGGGGUGGAAAGCCUUGUGCGGCUGAGGAUGGGCCCGCGGCCUAUCAGCUUGUUGGUGGGGUGANGGCCUACCAAGGCGACGACGGGUAGCCGGCCUG
This 265-nucleotide ribosomal RNA is filed under the name uncultured bacterium. Its description in RNAcentral is "partial 16S ribosomal RNA". It matches the Rfam family "Bacterial small subunit ribosomal RNA", at positions 28 to 294 of the family's 1533-position model. The record is from RNAcentral.